GGUGCAGGGGCCAUACCUGACCUAUGAGGACUCGUACCUCGCGGUGACUGGUGGCUCUGGCGCCUUCGAGGGUGUUUACGGCCAUGUCAAGCUGCAACAGCUAGUCUUUCCCUUCAAGCUGUUCUACACCUUCUACCUCAAGGGCAUUCCUGACCUCCCGCCGGAGCUGCUAGGCGACCACAUUCCUCCCUCCUCAGCAGUCGAGCCCAUUCCCGCUGCCAAGUCCUGUGAGCCCCAUGC
RNAcentral lists this unclassified non-coding RNA (240 nucleotides) under Hevea brasiliensis (rubber tree). The record is from RNAcentral. Lineage: Eukaryota; Viridiplantae; Streptophyta; Magnoliopsida; Malpighiales; Euphorbiaceae.